CCUACGGGUGGCAGCAGUGGGGGAUAUUGCGCAAUGGGGGCAACCCUGACGCAGCAACGCCGCGUGGUUGAAGGAGGCCUUCGGCUUGUAAAGAUCUUUAGUCGGGGACGAAUUUUGACGGUACCCAAAGAAUAAGCUCCGGCUAACUACGGGCCAGCAGCCGCGGUAAUACGUGGGGAGCAAGCGUUAUCCGGAUUUACUGGGUGUAAAGGGCGUGUAGGCGGGAAUGCAAGCCAGAAGUGAAAUCUGGGGGCUUAACCCCCGAACGGCUUUUGGAACUGCGUGUCUGGAGUGAGGGAGAGGCAGGCGGAAUUCCCAGUGUAGCGGUGAAAUGCGUAGAUAUUGGGAGGAACACCAGUGGCGAAGGCGGCCUGCUGGACAUUAACUGACGCUGAGGCGCGAAGGCGUGGGGAGCAAACAGGAUUAGAUACCCGAGUAGUC
RNAcentral lists this ribosomal RNA (441 nucleotides) under uncultured bacterium. RNAcentral describes it as "partial 16S ribosomal RNA". It matches the Rfam family "Bacterial small subunit ribosomal RNA", at positions 338 to 795 of the family's 1533-position model. The record is from RNAcentral.